GGGGGCGUGGUCUAGUGGUCUAGGAUGCCUGCCUGUCACGCAGGAGGUCGCGAGUUCGAGUCUCGUCGCCCCCGCCA
Molecule: transfer RNA, 77 nt
Filed under: bacterium
Lineage: Bacteria
Also listed under: 1 other name
Description: tRNA-Asp
Rfam family: tRNA
About the family: Transfer RNA (tRNA) molecules are approximately 80 nucleotides in length. Their secondary structure includes four short double-helical elements and three loops (D, anti-codon, and T loops).
Source: RNAcentral